This 1055-nucleotide long non-coding RNA is filed under the name Gallus gallus (chicken). RNAcentral's name for it is "lncRNA (ENSGALG00010028261.1)". Lineage: Eukaryota; Metazoa; Chordata; Aves; Galliformes; Phasianidae. The record is from RNAcentral.
CUCGAACGGAGCUGGGAGGACGGAACGCGGGCACGGCCACGGGGCGGUACUGUGCGCGGUACGGCCGCCCGCCCCGCGACGCCGCGCCGCUCCUCGGGCCGUGCCCAUAGAGGGGCUCCCAGCGCGGCCCGCGCUCGCUCCGCCGCGCCCAUUGGUCCGGCGUCCUCCCCCCGGUGGCCAAUGAGACGGCGCGGCUCGCGGGGAGGCGGGCCGUCGGGCGGUGUCACGUGUGCCUAACGUGCGCGGCCAUCCGGAGGCGGUCCUUGCUCGCAAAGGGGCGGGGCGGCUUUAGGUUUGACCGACGUCCGUCUCGGCCUAUCAGCGCGCCGGCUUCGCCCCCGGCGGGAGGGGCUCGGCUACUGAUUGCCGCGGAGCGCGGCGGGGCGGGCGUUGGACGGCGCGGUUGCUAUGACGGCGCGCCCCGGGGCUCCGCCCCUUCGGCGGCCGCCAUCUUGUUGUUGAUUCGAACGGCGGGGAGCGGGCGGCGGCGCUGGGGGCUCGGGGUUGGCAGCCCCCGGCCGGGCAGGCGGAGCCGCCCCGAGGCUGCGUGCGGCGAGGAGCCCUCGGAGCGCGGCGGUGCCAUGAGAGCGGCAUGCCUCUGAAAACGUGACCUUGUGAAGCCCCACGAGCGUGAGGUGAUGAGCCCUGCCCAGGCCGGGAGCUGGCUGCUGACCAUCUGCUUACAGGACACAGCCUCCUGCUUUAACAGAUCACCAGGUGCCUGUAUAGGUUUUGAUUGCAUUUUAGAUGUUAGUUCAUUUCGCUGUUUCUCGAGGUUGCUGUGGAGCUGGUGAGUGGGCUAUGAGGUGGAGCAUGCUGUCUUGUGGAUUGUCUUUUGAGUAAGGAGCAUAGCUGUUAAGUGUGAAGUCAAAUGUGUACAGCCUUUACUCUUGAGCAGGUCAGUUUCUUGCAGCUGUGGUUGAAGCCAUAGAAUAUCUGAUGAAGACCUUGUUUGGGCCAUUAGUCAGGCGUUGUGUUGUAACCCAGGCACUUAACACGCUGCUAUCAGAUUCCUCCGAUCCAUCCACAGCUUUAACGUGGUUGAGAUGUGCAGC